UUGUAGYAAUACAAGGCAGACGGCUCAGUAACGCGUAGUCAACCUACCCUAUGGACGGGAAUAACCUCGGGAAACUGAGUAUAAUGCCCGAUAGAACAUUAUGCCUGGAAUGGGUUUAUGUUCCAAAUGAUUUAUCGCCRUAGGAUGGGACUGCGGCCUAUCAGUUUGUUGGUGAGGUAAUGGCCCACCAAGACUAUUACAGGUACGGGCUCUGAGAGGAGURGCCCGGAGAUGGGUACUGAGACACGGACCCAGGCCCUAUGGGGCGCAGCAGGCGAGAAAACUUUGCAAUGUGCGAAAGCACGACAAGGUUAAUCCGAGUGGUUUCUGCUAAAGGAACCUUUUGUUAGUCCUARAAACACUAACGAAUAAGGGGUGGGCAAGUUCUGGUGUCAGCCGCCGCGGUAAAA
This 410-nucleotide ribosomal RNA is filed under the name uncultured archaeon. Its description in RNAcentral is "bacterial SSU rRNA". It matches the Rfam family "Archaeal small subunit ribosomal RNA", at positions 62 to 475 of the family's 1478-position model. The record is from RNAcentral.